This 343-nucleotide ribosomal RNA is filed under the name Helobdella paranensis. RNAcentral's name for it is "partial 12S ribosomal RNA". It matches the Rfam family "Bacterial small subunit ribosomal RNA", at positions 874 to 1383 of the family's 1533-position model. The record is from RNAcentral. Lineage: Eukaryota; Metazoa; Annelida; Clitellata; Rhynchobdellida; Glossiphoniidae.
UAAUAGCCUAUUUAUAGGGUUGGAAAAUACGAACAACAGUUUAAACACCAAAGAAUUUGGCGGUGUCUUAUUUAAUUAGGGGAACCUGUCCUAUAACUCGAUAAUCCACGAAUGCCUUACCUAAUAUUGAAACUCAGUUAGUGUACUGCCGUCUAAAGCAUACCUUCAUGAGAGUAUGCAAUAAAUUUUAAAUUAAUUGUACGUCAGGUCAAAGUGCAGCUUAUAAUUAGGUAGAGAUGGGUUACAAUCCUUAUAAGGACUACGGAUUAAAUGUAUAAAAUCAUUUAUGAAGGUGGACUUAACAGUAAUUAUAUUUAGUAUAAUGAAUUUUUAUUAAGACAAG